UUAAAUUGAAGAGUUUGAUCAUGGCUCAGAUUGAACGCUGGCGGCAGGCCUAACACAUGCAAGUCGAACGGUAACAGGAAGCAGCUUGCUGCUUCGCUGACGAGUGGCGGACGGGUGAGUAAUGUCUGGGAAACUGCCUGAUGGAGGGGGAUAACUACUGGAAACGGUAGCUAAUACCGCAUAAGUCGCAAGACCAAAGAGGGGGACCUCGGGCCUCUUGCCAUCGGAUGUGCCCAGUGGGAUUAGCUUGUUGGUGGGGUAACGGCUCACCAAGGCGACGAUCCCUAGCUGGUCUGAGAGGAUGACCAGCCACACUGGAACUGAGACACGGUCCAGACUCCUACGGGAGGCAGCAGUGGGGAAUAUUGCACAAUGGGCGCAAGCCUGAUGCAGCCAUGCCGCGUGUAUGAAGAAGGCCUUCGGGUUGUAAAGUACUUUCAGCGGGGAGGAAGGGAGUAAAGUUAAUACCUUUGCUCAUUGACGUUA
Molecule: ribosomal RNA, 486 nt
Filed under: Escherichia coli
Lineage: Bacteria; Pseudomonadati; Pseudomonadota; Gammaproteobacteria; Enterobacterales; Enterobacteriaceae
Description: bacterial SSU rRNA
Rfam family: Bacterial small subunit ribosomal RNA
Source: RNAcentral